Molecule: RNA transcript, 2134 nt
Organism: Photinus pyralis (common eastern firefly)
Lineage: Eukaryota; Metazoa; Arthropoda; Insecta; Coleoptera; Lampyridae
Exons: 6
Source: RefSeq, a predicted model, not a curated record
AAGCCGCUUUACAUUAGGCAAUUUUAGUGCAAUGCAAGGCUUGUGCUAUGCAAUCUAAAAUUGCCUUGCAUUGCACGGUUAUGCAAUUGUGUUGCAACUUUUGUGCAAGUUCAGAAAAGUGUUGCAGUACUGACAACAUAUUUUUCAAAAAUUGAAACUUUUCAGUUUGUUUACACAGAAGGUUAUUCUUGAAACUUAAUAAAAUUGACCAUUAGGUAUGAGCAAACAAAAGGAAAUUAAGCUGGCUACAGCUUGUUAUGUGGUGGCGCUUGCUAUUAAAAAAAACACACAAAAUAACACACGCGAAACCAAACAAAUUGUGGUAUUGACAAAAUUACUAGAAAAGUUACUAGAACUUGCGCCAAACUUGCAAGUGAAAUAGAACUUUCUCUAUGCGAUGCAGAUAUAACUUUUGCCCACCAAAUUUUGCAGCGAGAAAUUCAAGGGACAAGUUCCAAUGAUGCUGGAUGCUCGAAUGAAGAGGAACCAGUAAAGCAGGUAUCGGAGGACAUUCCUGUGAACGGUAAGCAUAAACACUUAUAGGUCAAAGUGUUGAACUCUGUAUAUAUAUAUUUGUUAAGCCUGCUACACACAUGCAAGCAAGUCGUACAACUUGGCUUGAACAGACCAAAUCGUACAACUUGCAAGUGUGUGUGUAGAGCAAGUCGGAGCUUGAGUUGGGCUAGAAGUUGGGCAUGCGUGAAAUCGGACAAAACCGAUUGCGUACAGUUAAAUCGUACUGCAAGUCGAGACGUGUGUAUGCGAACACGGCAGAAUCGGCGAACUUGAGUAAAACAGAGCGUUCACUGCAACAACAUGGCCGAUCUAAGAAGUCUAUCCCGAGAUUUCCUAACGGAAUUUAUCGAGAUGUACCGGGAAAACCCGUGCCUGUGGCAAAUAAAAAGUAAGGACUACAGUAAUAAACAGAAGAAGAAUGCUGCGUAUGCAAAAUUAGUAAAAAAACUUGAAGAAGUGGAAAAAAAUGCAACCAAAGAAAGCGCCGUGAAGAAAAUUAAUUCGUUGAGGACGUGUUUUCGGAAGGAGUAUCGCAAGGUUUUGGCAUCUGAGAGAUCUGGGGUCGGCACAGAUGAAUUAUAUAUACCAACUUUGUGGUAUUAUGAAUUACUUACGUUUUUGUUGGAACAGGAAGAACCUAAACCUUCAAGAAGUACAAUUUCUGAUGAUGAGGGUGAUGAUGUGCAGGAGGAACAAAACACACAAUCACUUGGUCCGGAAGCGGAAACGCAACAGUCGAAUGAAGAGACAAAUGAAACGCAACGUUCCGAUUAUGAAAGUGACCCACUAUCCCCUACUGUGGAUAGAUCAAGAACUCCAUCAUCUACGACAGUAGUGGCUCACCGUUCUAGAUCAGGAUCUAGGGCACCAUCUUCUAAUGGAGGAAAAAGAAUGAAGAAGGCAGACGCCGUGCUGGAUAUUGUAGCUCAAAAGUUGCAAGCACCAAAUCCAAUUAGGGAAUUUGAUAACUUUGCACACCAUGUUGCUGAGCAACUCAGGGAGGUGCCGAAACAACAAGCAAUUUAUCUUACAAAAAUUAUUAACGAUGGUAUCUUUGAAGCCCAGUGUGGAACCCUAACGCGAAACUCUCGCAUUGUGUCUCAACCUGCUGAGUUACCUGCACCUGAAGGGUAUUAUGUUGCUCCUUUAGCCCCAGCCCAAAAUACGCACCAUACACAAAAUAGAGUUAGUCAAGCGAGCAUAUAUCCGGAUCACUGCCAACACCAGGCGCCAAUCUCGGAGGCACUGGCAAACUAUUUUAGCAAUGUCGCACCAUAACAAUGUGUGUUUGAUUCCUAUAACGGUUAUUAUUGCUUUGCAUGUUUCGGGGAUUAUCUGCGACAAUGCUUGGGGUGAUAUAAUUACGGAAAACUUCAAGUCUUCGAAAGUUCGACCUGUUGCUAGAAAUCGCAGCGUUGCAGUUAAUCUUUCGUGAGGAGUAAUUGCAGCUCUCAUUACAGUGUCUUUCUUUCUAAUUAAUGGAGCAACACUACACAGUAAUUCCUCAUAAGUACUACCGGUAUCCAUUCUAAGCAUAUAAGUGGUCCCAUGAGGCAGUCCUUCUUUUAUUAGAAUUAUAUAGAGAAAAAGAAAAUUUAAUUACGUCUGGUAAAAUAAG